Molecule: long non-coding RNA, 1048 nt
Filed under: Scleropages formosus (Asian bonytongue)
Lineage: Eukaryota; Metazoa; Chordata; Actinopteri; Osteoglossiformes; Osteoglossidae
Description: lncRNA (ENSSFOG00015031303.1)
Source: RNAcentral
AUGGAUAACUUCAGAAUGUACAUUGCGACAGCGGUCUUGCUUGGCUUCUCGCUGCAGGUUGUCAGCUGCAGCUGUCAUGACAGCGAGUAUCCCGCUGCGACGGGCGUGUGCUGUCGAUACCCUAAACAAGGAUGGUUUAUUUCUAAAAACUGCACAUCGGAGAAUGGUAUAGAGGCAUCACCCUGCAAGAACUGCACAGGUCUUAAGAUAGCAAACUGCACAUACUUCUCCGACACUCAAUGUGAAGACGACAGGAAAAACCAGUCCUCCAUUUCAACACAGAAAGCAGAUGAAUUGAAUCCUAAAAGACUUUAUGAUCUCCAUGUUUCAAAAACAAUGCAAGAUGCCUGAUGUGAUGCCCUAACAAAUCAUGGGAACACAUGUGGUCCCCGAAACUCAUCAUAAGUCAAAAAUAUAGUAAGUUGAAAAUGCAUUUAAUACAUCUAAUACACACCUCUGCAUGACAGACUGGUAGAUGCAGAUUGCUGCUGCUGCUGCCCAGCAUUGUGAGAGAGUAUCGCACUACAUAUCGCUUGCAGUGGGGGGAAAAAAAAUCAAAAGUCAAAAUUUGCAGUAGUUUCUGCUGAAUGUCUGUCGCCAGCUCACCAUCGUAAAGUCGAAAAAAUCGUAACUCAAACCAUCUUAAAUCGUGGACCACCUGUACUGGAUCCAAAUUCAAGUAUUAUCUUGAGAGUGGUUCCCCCAGCUGCCAGUACAGUUAAUUUUUACUGAGACACAAGGAUCAUUUGUCAUCGUAUAUGAAAAACAUAAAUGGUCAGACUAAAUGUAUAGAUGUGUUUGCAUCUUUUUAUACUUUUAUUAUGUAAUAAUUGUUUGUGAAGUUAGUCACAAUUAGUUGUUUUUGACAAAAAAACUUUACACUUACAGCAACUUGCUGUACAGCUAUGGGUGUUGCAAGCCCCUCACCCAGCAGAAUAUUUGUAAAGCCUUUAAUUUUUGAAAGGCACUAAAGAAGCUAAGUAGUUUAACUAAACUAAAGUUAAAUGUAGUUAAUAAAAGCUAAAAAAGUUUAAAGGUUUAAAGAAGG